AUGGCAACUCCUGGUGAGGCUCGUGGUUCUGCUACCUUGAAGGCCAUAACAUUCUUUUGUGUGCUUGCAGUUCUUGUAGCUGAUAUCCAGGGGCGUCAUCAUCAUACUUGUCCUCCUUUUUCUUGCGGCCAUCUGCAAGACGUCCGGUACCCUUUCCGCCGGAGAGGUGAUCCAGGCGAGUGCGGAGUUACAUAUUACGAGCUGGCUUGCACCGAUAGCAGGGCUACCAUUACGAUCAACAGCUGGCCAUACUUUGUGACUGAGAUAAAUUAUGCCAAUUCUUCCUUCUUGGUUGUCGAUGCUAGAUUGGACUUGAGCAGCAGCUGCCCUGUUCCUCAACGGAACCAGGGGGCUUACCAGCUGUAUUACGGUGGUGGCUUUUUGAGGUCAGAAGGCUCGGAGUUAAUGCUUGAACUGGCCCCUCCCUCUUCAAUUGCGUUGGCUACCUUUGUGAAUUGCUCGCGUGAGGUCAGGAACAAUACUCUCUACUCACCAGUUGCUUGCCAUAGCACGAGCUCCUCUUUUGUUUAUGUGCUGAUUGGUGAUCCCACCGACAUUUUCGCCCUCAAGCCUUCCUGUGGAUACCUGGGCCUGGCUGUGAUUGUUCUGGAAGGCGAGAGAUCGCCAUAUUAUGCAAAUUAUCGAGAUGUCAUGGAAUCCAUGAGAAACGGAUUCGCAGUUAGUUUUCCGCAAGAUUUUGCAUGUACUACAUGUGGCUUUGAACAACCCUUGCCGUUGCUCAGUAUUGGCGAAUUAAUCAGUGGAAUGAAGUCUAGAAGAUACACGUGGGAAAAGAUUUUGGAACUUUUGCUAACUCGUUUGUUUCCUCGCAUAACUGGAAAAUAUGCAUAUGCAGCAAUUCCCAUGUGGAUUGCCCAGUGGAUUGCAAUAACUGCUGUACUAUGCAGGUUCAUGCUGCCGCCACUGGUGGUAUUGACAUUCCUUGCCUACAAGUACUGGAGAACAAGGAUAACAAUUGAUGCAGUCGAGAAGUUCUUGCGGAUGCAACAAAUGGUGGGCCCAAUCAGGUACAGCUACACAGACAUCACCGCAGUAACAAGGCAUUUCAGAGAUAAAUUGGGCCAAGGGGGCUAUGGCUCAGUCUACAAAGGUGUUCUUCUCCCAGGAGAUAUCCAUGUUGCUGUUAAGAUGCUAGCAGGUAGCUCCAACUGCAACGGAGAAGAUUUUAUUAGUGAGGUCUCCACCAUUGGCAGGAUCCACCAUGUCAAUGUGGUCCAUCUCAUGGGGUUCUGCUCGGAGGAAAUGAGAAGGGCCCUGAUCUAUGAGUACAUGCCUAAUGGCUCUCUUGACAAAUACAUCUUUUCGUCGGAGAGGAGCUUCUCUUGGGACAAGCUCAAUGAGAUUGCCUUGGGGAUUGCAAGGGGUAUCAACUACCUGCAUGAGGGGUGCGACAUGCAGAUUUUGCACUUCGACAUCAAGCCGCACAACAUUCUUCUCGAUACCAAUUUUGUCCCGAAAGUUGCUGAUUUCGGCCUGGCCAAACUGUACCCAAGGGAUGACAGCUUUGUGCCGUUGAGCGCUAUGCGGGGAACCAUUGGGUACAUAGCUCCUGAGAUGGUAUCCCGGAGCUUUGGUGUGGUAUCCAGUAAAUCUGAUGUUUACAGCUUCGGGAUGCUGCUACUGGAAAUGGCAGGAGGACGCCGGAAUGCUGAUCCGAAUGCAUCAAACUCAAGCCAGGCGUACUACCCGUCCUGGGUGUACGACAGGCUAACAAGGCAACAAGAAGUGGCUGUGAUAUCUGCGGCAGAUGAGAUGCACGAGUUGGAGCGGAAGCUUUGUCUCGUUGGGCUAUGCUGCAUCCAGAUGAAGUCUCAGGAUCGGCCGACGAUGAGCGAGGCCAUAGAGAUGCUCGAAGGUGGCGUUGAAGGCCUGCAUGUGCCUUCCAGGCCAUUCUUCUGUGACGAUGAGCACGCCCCUGUAGCUGCUGGUUCUCACCACGUCUUCUCUGAGCUGACUACUCUGUCGGAGGAGGAGGAUUUUGAUGGUGCUUCUACGCAAGACAACAGCGCUGGUCUUAGAAAUGCAGAGUAG
RNAcentral lists this ribosomal RNA (2052 nucleotides) under Triticum aestivum (bread wheat). RNAcentral's name for it is "partial small subunit ribosomal RNA". The record is from RNAcentral. Lineage: Eukaryota; Viridiplantae; Streptophyta; Magnoliopsida; Poales; Poaceae.